RNAcentral lists this ribosomal RNA (253 nucleotides) under uncultured prokaryote. RNAcentral describes it as "partial 16S ribosomal RNA". It matches the Rfam family "Bacterial small subunit ribosomal RNA", at positions 524 to 776 of the family's 1533-position model. The record is from RNAcentral.
UACGGAGGGUGCAAGCGUUAUCCGGAUUUACUGGGUUUAAAGGGUGUGUAGGCGGAAAUUUAAGUCAGUGGUGAAAUCUUCAGGCUCAACCUGGAAACUGCCAUUGAUACUAUUUUUCUUGAAUAUUGUGGAGGUAGGCGGAAUGUGUCAUGUAGCGGUGAAAUGCAUAGAUAUGACACAGAACACCGAUUGCGAAGGCAGCCUGCUACACAAUUAUUGACGCUGAGGCACGAAAGCGUGGGGAUCAAACAGG